AACCAAUGGUGAGGGCACCUUCUCAAUAAAUCCUUGUACCUCUCCUAUGUAUCAUAUAGGGUAUCUAGGUCCAUCUGAAUGAAGGAAGAGAUAUCAUUCCUCAGCUU
Molecule: non-coding RNA, 107 nt
Organism: Gossypium hirsutum (cotton)
Lineage: Eukaryota; Viridiplantae; Streptophyta; Magnoliopsida; Malvales; Malvaceae
Source: Rfam